RNAcentral lists this long non-coding RNA (234 nucleotides) under Olea europaea (common olive). Its description in RNAcentral is "long non-coding RNA (OEUR_LNC008621)". The record is from RNAcentral. Lineage: Eukaryota; Viridiplantae; Streptophyta; Magnoliopsida; Lamiales; Oleaceae.
UCUAUGCAUCAAGUUUAAUUAAUUGUUUUCUCCAUUUUCUUCCUCCUUUAUCACUGCAAUUAAACAUCAGAUUUGUGUCCUUCGUCGGUGCAAGGAAAUGGGCAAUCAAAAAAUAUAGUUGCGGAUUCAAACAAUCUUUUGUUGGUGUUUGAUCGAUUGUAUUAUUGUAACUAAGCCUGAUUUGUGCACAAAUCGAAGUACUUCCACGUCAAAUGGUAUCACAGUUGUUAGAUG